UACACCCUAGCCAACCCACUCUUUCUCUCACCGUUCUCUCUCUUCCACCGCCUUACUCCCUUCAUCACCGCCAUUCUCCACCGUCCUCGCCGCCGCAUAGCUGUUCGCGCCGCCGUCCUCUCCGCUGAGGCCCUCUAUCCAUUUCUCUUCCGCGAACAGCAGCGGUCCGAGCCGCCGCCGCCGCUGAUGUAUCCUUCUCUGAAACUCCGGCGUCGCUUCUGUAAAAUCUGGCGACUGAUUUUCACCGUUCUUUCCCUCUUUUUCUCUUCAUCUCGGUUUCCCUCUCUAAUCCCUCACUGGAAGCGCGCAAUUGAAGGGAAAAAGUCGAGCCCUAGCUUCUCUCCAGCAGGAGAGGGAGACGGCGCCGCAGACGCUGGUGGUGGGCGGUGGUGUUGGAGGCUGCGGCGGCGGGGGGGUUUGCGGGGGCGGGAGGGGGUCAGAUGAUGGGUCAGGUUCCCAGGAUUCGGGAAGCUGGCCCGGGCGUGAGAGCACUGACGUCUACUAUGAGAUGAUGAUACAAGCUAAUCCCGGCAAUGCUCUUCUGCUCGGGAAUUAUGUUAGAUUCUUGAAGGAGGUUAGGGGAGAUUUGGCAAAGGCAGAGGAGUAUUGUGAGGGCGAUUUUGGCGAAUCCAAGUGAUGGUAAUGUGCUAUCACUAUACGCUGAUCUAAUAUGGCAGACGCAAAGAGAUGCUACUCGAGCUGAUGCCUAUUUUCAUCAAGCUGUCAAAACUCACCCCAAUGACUGCUAUGUUCUGGCUUCGUAUACUCAAUUCUUAUGGGAUGUCGAGGAUGUCAAAGAAGAAGAAGAGGAAUAAGUAAACGAUUUAGCUUGUGUCUAAUAGUUUGGUUUUAGAAGCUGCCGCCGCGCCAGAUCGUGCCUUAGCCAAAAAAUACCAGAGAGAGGACCCAACUACUCGUCGUAUUUGUAUUUGCAAGAAUAUGAUGUUAGGCUAGCUCUGGAUUAGCUGCACCUGCGGAGGACAGUACUUUCAGGGCAGCUGGUGCAUCCCGAAUUGAAUCGUCGUAUAUUGUUGGCUUACGAGAUCUUGAUAUGAAACACGUUAAAGAUUUCAUCUUCAUACACAGUAUCUAAUUAGUAUCUCAUAUGUGGAUGACACUGAAGUUUUCAAGUACUAGUUCUUGGCGGAUCAAGUUGAUGGGAGUCGAUGCACUGUUUUUCAAUCGAGAAUGCAGCCAAAAACUGAGUUAUGAGGACUACUACUAAUGAGAAGGCUAAAGCAGAGAACGUCGUUUCAAAUGUUUCAAAUCUUAUAUUUCAAUCUCUAUACGCAGGUGCAUAUGAUCGGUCCCCGUUUUGAGGAAGUAAUUUUUUGCAGUAUUUUGUUGUGCAUGUAGUAAAACAUGUAUUAACAGGCAACUUGUGUAGCUCGAAUUGUUGGAUACUAUGUUAUAUAUGCUAAUAUUAUCUUGUCAAUGUUAUUUUAUUA
RNA transcript from Salvia miltiorrhiza (redroot sage), 1448 nucleotides. RefSeq lists it as uncharacterized. The transcript has 7 exons. NCBI's taxonomy places the organism in Eukaryota, Viridiplantae, Streptophyta, Magnoliopsida, Lamiales, Lamiaceae. The record is from RefSeq and is a predicted model, not a curated record.